RNAcentral lists this long non-coding RNA (883 nucleotides) under Anas platyrhynchos platyrhynchos (common mallard). Its description in RNAcentral is "lncRNA (ENSAPLG00000020456.1)". Lineage: Eukaryota; Metazoa; Chordata; Aves; Anseriformes; Anatidae. The record is from RNAcentral.
CUUUAUCCAGGCAGUGCAAUACGUUGCUUGCCAGACUAGAAAAUGAUAUAUUAGCCAUCUGGGCAAUGGGCCCAACCCUGGGCAAGAUUAGUGCUUCAAUUAGCUGUUGAUAGCUUUCCAUUAGAAUAUUGGUUUCAAAGAGCACUAAACAAGAAUGUUGUGCUUUGAUUUUCAGAUUUAAUUACUUCCAUCAGGGCUAUAAAUGAACUCAUUAGUCUUAGUGGCUCUAAAACCUAGAGACAAUAGAAUGUUAUUGCCAUUGUUCUUAUGGUUUGUGCAAACAUUACUUUCAGAAUGCUAUUAGGGAUGGCUAUCAACCUUUCCACUCUUCCUAAUGUAGCUGGCUGGCUGACCCUGCACAGCAGCUCUGGGAAUAAAAUGGAGAAUGGGAAUGCAGCGAGGCGGAUGCUGCCAGUCAUCGCCCGCCCGCAGGACUGGAACCCCCUGGGGUCAUCUGCUGUUCCCCAGCAAAGAAACCUGGUCCUGAGCAGCUGGAACUAACUCUGAAGUCAGCACUGAUUUGAGAAAGUCCAAAGGCCCUUCCAAACAAAAUUGUACAAUAAUUCUGGGAGGAAAAGGGAAUCAUGAAUAAGCCGCAUAGUAGGGAAAGGGUAAGGGGUUGGUGUUUCCUGAAAUGACAAAAACCAACAUAGUGUUAGAUUAUAUGUAAUAUAUUAUUUAUAAUAUAUUAUAUAUAAUAUAAUAUAUGUAAUUAUAUAUUAGAUCAGCAAUAUACCAUGUCAUUUAUUAAAAACCCUAAGCCUUGCAGAGUUUUCUUUCAUCUGAGGUGUGUUUCACUUGGUAGAAGUCCCUUUGUUUUUCUGGUUUCUUUCUUCUGUGGAGGAAGGAUGUCAUGUGUAAAUAAAGGAUAUGAUGCUCUGCA